GAGACAGAGGAGGCCGCGUCCUGGGAGCGUCCCCACCAUGGCCUGGACGGUGCUUCUGCUCGGGCUCCUCGCCCACAGCUCAGGUGUGGAUUCCCAGACCGUGGUGACCCAGGAGCCGUCACUCUCAGUGUCUUCAGGAGGGACGGUCACACUCACCUGUGGCCUUAGCUCUGGCUCAGUCACUACUAGUAACUACCCCAACUGGUUCCAGCAGACCCCAGGCAAGGCUCCCCGCAUGCUCAUCUACAGCACAAACAGCAGGCCCUCUGGGGUCCCUGAGCGCUUCUCCGGGUCCAUCUCUGGGAACAAGGCCGCCCUCACCAUCUCGGGGGCCCAGCCUGAGGACGAGGCCGACUAUUACUGUGCUCUGUAUAUGGGUAGUGGUACUUACACAGUGAUGGGAACCCACGGGGAAGUGCAACCAAAACCUCUUCAUGUGCUCAGAAGGGCUCAGCUCUAG
Non-coding RNA from Pteronotus mesoamericanus, 460 nucleotides. The record is from the annotation of a RefSeq genome assembly. Lineage: Eukaryota; Metazoa; Chordata; Mammalia; Chiroptera; Mormoopidae.